Molecule: long non-coding RNA, 1756 nt
Filed under: Spirodela polyrhiza (greater duckweed)
Lineage: Eukaryota; Viridiplantae; Streptophyta; Magnoliopsida; Alismatales; Araceae
Description: long non-coding RNA (SPOL_LNC001643)
Source: RNAcentral
GGGGAUGAACAGUCUUACCUUUCAAUCCCCUCUGUCACUCUGCAAAACGCGAGGUGGUGCCCACACUUCCCUGGGAGGAAGAAGACGACCCAGAUAGAAGGUAUCAGCCUCUAGACUAGAACAAAAAGAAAAUAAAAACGGAGUUAUUACAGGCAUUCAAUUCGACGAAGGGCAUGCAUAAAUUCUUCAAACCCCUAUCAAAUCUAAAAUACAGGGGUAAACCCAGAGACCAAGACCUAGGGUUCCUCGCAGGCCUUAAAAAAAAAAUUGACAGGGGUAGACGCAGAAACCGGACCUCCCACCACCUUCUUUUGGCAGCGCUCAUGAGGAUUCCAGAGGGGAGAUGGCCGCAGAGUACAGAAGAAAGUGCAGGAGCUGGUGGCGAUGACGGAGAAAUUAAAUCAAACUACAAGCGGAGGCUGGCAGGAGACGGUGGGGGCUGCAAUGAAGUCAAAUAGGGAAGAGGGGGAGCAUUUAAUUGUUUAUGCGGGCGGCAGCUCGCGGCAUUAAUUGUUAAGGCAGGGUGAAUAAAUUAAGCCAGCAGGAGGCCGUUCGGGUUCCCCGGCGCCGGAGGCUGUAGAGGUGGAGCAGCCGGUCCCACCUCGCCGGCACCGGCAACGACAGCAUCAACAACCGUAGCGUGACGUUAUCGCCGCCGCUGGCACAUGAGCUAGGGUUCUUAGGGCUUCUUUGCCGGGGAGGAGGUAUGCAGAGGAGUUGAAGAUCUUUUCGAUUUCAAUCCUUUGCGUGAACCUAAACCGGAAGCGGAGCUCGAGCAGGAAGCCGAUCGAUCGGUCGAUCGAUCAUUCCGCGGACGAGCCAGGGAACGCGGAAGCGGAUGAGCUCUAAAACCUCGGUUAGAUCACGGGAAGCAAAACGAGGAAGAACCGACCAGUUGUUGAUGAUUUCUCGGCCACCAAAACAUCCAAAUCGUACCAGACUCGACGCCAAGGUUGGCCGCAGAUUACUUGAUCAAAAACCUCGCGAGCAGAAUCAGAUUUCCGAGCCAUCGUCAAUCCCGUUUGUCCGUACCGAAUGAUCUCCGGAGCGAUCGUUCCCGAACUUCAGGAAGCGAGCACCUCGAGAUGAAUUUUCAGGGAAUUCCCGGACAGUAGACCAAGAGGGGAAGUAGGUAGAGUAGGCUUCUCGAUUACACCUCUCCACUUCCUAGCACUCUACUCCCUCAUUCCCGGCCGCUGGGGUCUGUCUCUCAAUCCCGAGCUCCAGAGCUCUGCACACGUUUCGCAGAGCGAAGACUCACAGAUCGCACAAGGAAGAAUCCAUGGCAUUGCUGCGAGCUUCGCCUUCUCCAGCGCUCCGGGAACUCCGAGAGCCGAAAUCAAAGAAGAAGAGCAGAGGAAACCUAGCGUUCGCUACCAGAAUCCCAUCAACCCUACCGUUCAACCUCCAUCGACAGGCACGCAACGACAAGAACAACAGCAACAUCAACCGAAAAACAUCCAUCGAGUUCAGUGAAACCAGGAACGGACGAAGAUGCCGUCGAAUUCUGAAUCGAAAAGGAUGAUGAAUUGGCAACUCACGGCUGUUCUUCCACCUUCCCGGCGGGAAAUCGGACGUCCCCCGCGCAGUACGAGCUCGCCCCCGGCUUCGUGCCGCGGAGAGGACCCAGUCCCCACCAGACGGAUCAUUAUAAAUUGCCAACUCUCAAUUACAAAAUUAAAACCAUCAAUUUCAUGUUGGUUCUCCUGCCGGCUGCAUGAGGUUUGAUCUUCAUGUUCUCACGCCACUCUCUCUC